Molecule: ribosomal RNA, 1071 nt
Filed under: Sodalis-like symbiont of Ommatidiotus dissimilis
Lineage: Bacteria; Pseudomonadati; Pseudomonadota; Gammaproteobacteria; Enterobacterales; Bruguierivoracaceae
Description: bacterial SSU rRNA
Rfam family: Bacterial small subunit ribosomal RNA
Source: RNAcentral
AGAUAGUUUGAUCAUGGCUCAGAUUGAACGCUGGCGGCAAGCCUAACACAUGCAAGUCGAGCGGCAGCGAAAAGAAGCUUGCUUCUUUGUCUGCGAGCGGCGGACGGGUGAGUAAUGUCUGGGGAUCUGCCCGGUGGAGGGGGAUAACUACCGGAAACGGUAGCUAAUACCGCAUAAUGUCGCAAGACCAAAGUGGGGGACUUUCGGGCCUCACACCAUCGGAUGAACCCAGAUGAGAUUAGCUAGUAGGUGGGGUAAUGGCUCACCUAGGCUACGAUCUCUAGCUGGUCUGAGAGGAUGACCAGCCACACUGGAACUGAGACACGGUCCAGACUCCUACGGGAGGCAGCAGUGGGGAAUAUUGCACAAUGGGGGAAACCCUGAUGCAGCUAUGCCGCGUGUGUGAAGAAGGCCUUCGGGUUGUAAAGCACUUUCAGCGGGGGAAGAAAGCAAAGGCGUUAAUAUCGCCAUUGAUUGACGAUACCCGCAGAAGAAGCACCGGCUAACUCCGUGCCAGCAGCCGCGGUAAUACGGAGGGUGCAAGCGUUAAUCGGAAUUACUGGGCGUAAAGCGUACGCAGGCGGUCUGUUAAGUCAGAUGUGAAAUCCCCGGGCUCAACCUGGGAACUGCAUUUGAAACUGGCAGGCUAGAGUCUCGUAGAGGGGGGUAGAAUUCCAGGUGUAGCGGUGAAAUGCGUAGAUAUCUGGAGGAAUACCGGUGGCGAAGGCGUCCCCCUGGACGAAGACUGACGCUCAGGUACGAAAGCGUGGGGAGCAAACAGGAUUAGAUACCCUGGUAGUCCAUGCUGUAAACGAUGUCGAUUUGAAGGUUGUGGUCUUGAGCCGUGGCUUUCGGAGCUAACGCGUUAAAUCGACCGCCUGGGGAGUACGGCCGCAAGGUUAAAACUCAAAUGAAUUGACGGGGGCCCGCACAAGCGGUGGAGCAUGUGGUUUAAUUCGAUGCAACGCGAAGAACCUUACCUACUCUUGACAUCCAGAGAACUUGGCAGAGAUGCCUUGGUACCUUCGGGAACCCUGAGACAGGUGCUGCAUGGCUGUCGUCAGCUCGUGU